RNAcentral lists this ribosomal RNA (278 nucleotides) under Glomeromycota sp. RNAcentral's name for it is "partial small subunit ribosomal RNA". It matches the Rfam family "Eukaryotic small subunit ribosomal RNA", at positions 569 to 852 of the family's 1831-position model. The record is from RNAcentral. Lineage: Eukaryota; Fungi; Glomeromycota.
AGCAGCCGCGGUAAUUCCAGCUCCAAUAGCGUAUAUUAAAGUUGUUGCAGUUAAAAAGCUCGUAGUUGAAUUUCGGGAUUAGUACGUCGGUCGUGCCUUAGGUACGUACUGGUGUUACUGGUUCCUACCUUCUGACGAACCAUCAUGUCAUUAAUUUGGUGUGGUGGGGAAUCAGGACUGUUACUUUGAAAAAAUUAGAGUGUUUAAAGCAGGCUCGCGCUUGAAUACAUUAGCAUGGAAUAAUGAAAUAGGACGUUGAUCCUAUUUUGUUGGUUUCU